UUUUGGACAAUGGGCGCAAGCCUGAUCCAGCCAUUCCGCGUGAGUGAAGAAGGCCUUCGGGUUGUAAAGCUCUUUCGCAAGGGCAGACAACUUACUUUCUAAUAAAGAGUGAGGUUGACGGUACCUUGAUAAGAAGCACCGGCUAACUACGUGCCAGCAGCCGCGGUAAUACGUAGGGUGCGAGCGUUAAUCGGAAUUACUGGGCGUAAAGCGUGCGCAGGCGGCUUUGUAAGUCAGAUGUGAAAUCCCCGAGCUCAACUUGGGAACUGCGUUUGAAACUACAAGGCUAGAAUAUGUCAGAGGGGGGUAGAAUUCCACGUAUAGCAGUGAAAUGCGUAGAGAUGUGGAGGAAUACCAAUGGCGAAGGCAGCCCCCUGAUUGGUAUUACGCUCAGCAGAA
RNAcentral lists this ribosomal RNA (399 nucleotides) under uncultured bacterium. Its description in RNAcentral is "bacterial SSU rRNA". It matches the Rfam family "Bacterial small subunit ribosomal RNA", at positions 362 to 757 of the family's 1533-position model. The record is from RNAcentral.